Molecule: long non-coding RNA, 856 nt
Organism: Macrobrachium nipponense
Lineage: Eukaryota; Metazoa; Arthropoda; Malacostraca; Decapoda; Palaemonidae
Exons: 3
Source: RefSeq, a predicted model, not a curated record
CAGGACAUAUGACAAAUGGAUCCGUGAGACCGUGAUGCAUUCAGUUUACAUGUUAACUUUGUGGCAAGUACUGUAGUGUGCGUUGUAUUCGGUUUCGAACGAUUGAUUUACCUUUCCAUAGAUCGUAAUAAGUAUUCCUAAAUGUUCCACAUUGCAGGCUGUGCUUAGACCGCUGGCUGGGGCUGCGUGAUCGCAAAGCGCUUUUGAAAAUAUGAGACGCACUCGAAUUCGGACUGGCAACUUUGUUAAAUGCAUCUAAAAGCUUCGCCUGCCAUACCUCGGCUCCUUUUGCAUGCUACCUUCUUGGUGAAGCAAGAUGUGUUGCAGCAUGGUGAUAAAAAGCACUUAUUUUAUACGAGCGUUCCCCACUUUCGUAUUAAGUCAGCAUCACAAGCUUUGUGAUAGACCUACAGUGUACACGAUGUUGCAAGACAAACUUCUGCGCAAAAUCACUGUCUCAUAUUUGGUGUGAUCAAUUGGUUGCAUAUCCUGGACUGGCGAGGGCAGCGCUGGAGAUGAUCACUCCAUUUCCAACUACUUACCUGUGUGAGAAGACAACUGUCCGGAACCGUCUUCAUGGAGGCCUGUUCCACGACAUGAGGGUGGCUCUGGCUAACACCAUGCUACGAUAUGAGAAACUAUACUCGGUUUUUCCCAUCUGUCCACCCGCCUGUGGUGUUUGCGUAUGGUAACACUGCGUCCUGGGCUCUAGAUAGUUACAUUCAGCUUACAUUCAACAGUUAUAAUAAUAUCCUAUUUCGGAUACUAACGGUGUAAUUCACAUACAGCAGAUUAUUUAAACACUUUUCAGUUGCAAAUGUACACCAGAUGUCCUUUUAUUUACCUCAAACUUACA